ACAGAUUUUAAGCUAUCUCCAC
This 22-nucleotide microRNA is filed under the name Brugia malayi. RNAcentral describes it as "microRNA Bma-mir-84,b". The record is from RNAcentral. Lineage: Eukaryota; Metazoa; Nematoda; Chromadorea; Rhabditida; Onchocercidae.